Molecule: ribosomal RNA, 1001 nt
Filed under: uncultured bacterium
Lineage: Bacteria
Description: bacterial SSU rRNA
Rfam family: Bacterial small subunit ribosomal RNA
Source: RNAcentral
AACACAUGCAAGUCGAACGAUGAACACCGGAGCUUGCUCUGGUGGGAUUAGUGGCGAACGGGUGAGUAACACGUGAGCAAUCUGCCCCCGACUCUGGGAUAACCCCGAGAAAUCGGAGCUAAUACCGGAUACGACACCUCCUGGCAUCAGGUGGGUGUGGAAAGAAUUUCGGUUGGGGAUGAGCUCGCGGCCUAUCAGCUUGUUGGUGAGGUAAUGGCUCACCAAGGCGACGACGGGUAGCCGGCCUGAGAGGGUGACCGGCCACACUGGGACUGAGACACGGCCCAGACUCCUACGGGAGGCAGCAGUGGGGAAUAUUGCACAAUGGGCGCAAGCCUGAUGCAGCAACGCCGCGUGGGGGACGACGGCCUUCGGGUUGUAAACCUCUUUUGGCAGGGAAGAAGCGAAAGUGACGGUACCUGCAGAAAAAGCACCGGCUAACUACGUGCCAGCAGCCGCGGUAAUACGUAGGGUGCAAGCGUUGUCCGGAAUUAUUGGGCGUAAAGAGCUCGUAGGCGGUGUGUCACGUCUGCUGUGAAAAUCCAAGGCUCAACCUUGGACUUGCAGUGGGUACGGGCACACUCGAGUGCGGUAGGGGAGAUUGGAAUUCCUGGUGUAGCGGUGGAAUGCGCAGAUAUCAGGAGGAACACCGAUGGCGAAGGCAGAUCUCUGGGCCGUAACUGACGCUGAGGAGCGAAAGCGUGGGGAGCGAACAGGAUUAGAUACCCUGGUAGUCCACGCCGUAAACGGUGGGAACUAGAUGUGGGGUCCGUUCCACGGAUUCCGUGUCGCAGCUAACGCAUUAAGUUUCCCCGCCUGGGGAGUACGGCCGCAAGGCUAAAACUCAAGGAAUUGACGGGGGCCCGCACAGCGCGAGCAUGCGAUAUUCGAUGCACGCGAGAUCUACAGCUGACAUAUAGAGAAAGUGCAGAGAUGCACUCCCCGCAGUCUCUAUACAGUGUGCAUGAUGUCGUCAGCUCGUGUCUGAAAUGUGGAUAAGC